ACGCCCAGUGCGAUAAGGGGACUCCAAGUGCGAGGGCAUAUAGUCCUCGCUUUUCUCCACCGUAAGGAGGUGCAGGAAUAAGUGCUGGGCAAGACCGGUGCCAGCCGCCGCGGUAAUACCGGCAGCACGAGUGAUGACCGAUCUUAUUGGGCCUAAAGCGUCCGUAGCUGGCCACGCAAGUCUAUCGGGAAAUCCGCGCGCUCAACGCGCGGGCGUCCGGUGGAAACUGUGUGGCUUGGGACCGGAAGAUCCAGAGGGUACGUCCGGGGUAGGAGUGAAAUCCCGUAAUCCUGGACGGACCACCGGUGGCGAAAGCGCUUUGGAAAGACGGAUCCGACGGUGAGGGACGAAAGCUCGGGUCACGAACCGGAUUAGAUACCCGGG
This 384-nucleotide ribosomal RNA is filed under the name uncultured archaeon. RNAcentral's name for it is "bacterial SSU rRNA". It matches the Rfam family "Archaeal small subunit ribosomal RNA", at positions 359 to 741 of the family's 1478-position model. The record is from RNAcentral.